Long non-coding RNA from Orcinus orca (killer whale), 3240 nucleotides. RefSeq lists it as uncharacterized. NCBI's taxonomy places the organism in Eukaryota, Metazoa, Chordata, Mammalia, Artiodactyla, Delphinidae. The record is from RefSeq and is a predicted model, not a curated record. The transcript has 2 exons.
CCUCUUUCUCCAGACGAGCAAAUAAAAUGAAAAGCAACAGAAAAGAAUUAAAUGAGUAAGACAAUCUUCAAAGGAAAGAGGUUCUCGGUUCGACGGUCAACUUUGCCACUCACCGUAGGGCUAAUGAGAAUGGGAUUCAUUACCUAGGAGGUAAGCGUUAGUAGAGAUUUAUGCCUUAAACUUAUGAGUAAGGAAAAUAACGAUUCGGGGUGACGCCCGAAUCCUCACUGCUAAUGUGAGACGAAUUUUUGAGCGGGUAAAGGUUGCCCCUACGGUGACCCGCCUACUUUGCGGGAUGCCUGGGUGUUGCGAUCUGCCCGUACCUCUUGCAUUUAAAAGGUAGAAUUUAGAAAUUAACCCAAUUGAGGAAAGUUAAAAACGAACUAAGGAAUUACGUUGUCGAUUAACGGUGGUGGUCAAAUCUCGCGCCCCUAUCCGGGGUUGUUAACCCGUAAAAGGGUUAAUAUUGGGUUAAGAUAAUACAGUCAGUUUUUUGGAGCUUACUAGCGGCGUCGACUGGGAGUGUUACCAGUUAAUUGUUAGGGGGAGACAACGUGCAGUACACGGGAGCCUCGUUGUGUGGGUUAUAAUGCAGUGCUUACGUACCACGGCUCACACUUCUGGGCCGUAGGACGUUUACAACCGAAUGUUUUUGCCAGCCUGACCGUUGUCUUCCUGAUCUGCACAAUGGGGCACAUGAACUACGUCGCUGCGAGGGCCAAAUGAAGUGUUCCGAAUCUGUAUUUUUUUUUUUUAAUUUAUGUAAUCUCAGUCUCCAGCACUGAUCCCGGUGGGAGGUUCAGUAUGUCGAACCAGUGAAUGAAAAAUACAACAACAGCAGGAAACGGAAUUCCUUGGCGAUCCAGUGGUGAGGACUGCGCGGUUCUGCUGCAGCGAGCCCGGGGUUAGAUCCCUGAUCGCGGAAGUAAAACCCCCGCGUGUAGCGCGGUGUGGCCGAAACACCACAAACAGAAACAUAAAACAAAGACUAAACGUGCAACGCGUUUUAGACCAGCGCCGAACAAAGAUUUAAGUGCCCUAUGAAUCACUGCUGUAAGUACAACGGGUGAGUGGAGUUAUGUGUUCUCGACAGAACAUCACACCGCAGAUGAAAACCUGGCAUCAGAAAGAAGGUCCGUGGAGAGACGAGCUGGUGAAGAUUGGGCACCGGAGGAGGGAAAUCCAGGUCCCCGCCUUCGCAGCCGUGAUUGGCUGCUGGCUGGCCCUCCUUUUCUCAGUCGUGAAACAGGACCAUUAACUCCUCCCUCCGCGAGGUGCCGGGAAAGAACGCGGAAACCAGGAACCAACCCUUGGCCGGCUGCACAGCGAAGGGCAGGCAGGUGCGCAGGAUUAGGAAAGGGCCAGAGGAGCGCGGGAGUUAAGGCCCUUUCGCACCUCCACGCGAAGAAAGCGAAGUAUGGGGACAGGCACCAGGAGACCUAAUGUGUGUCGGGCGCUCAGCAGUGUCCUCAGCAGACGGUAGGUGUGGAGAGUCAAGCGCUCAGCAGAGUCCUCAGCAGACGGUAGGUGUAGAGAAGAGCCAUCAGGGCCUGAGAGGCCCAGGCUGAGUCCUUCCCCUGCCCACUGAGGAGUCCCAGCCCUGCUCCAGGAUGUGUGAGGGCCAGAGACAGAAUGGAAGGUGAGAGAUGAAAGGGGAGAGUGGCUCUCUAGCCCCGAGGCCUCCUGUGAACUGCCCCGUCUUCUCUUCCCCACUCCACUCCAGCCACACUGGCCCUCACUGUGUCCCAGGGCCUCCGCACUUGCUGGUCACUCCCGCUGGAGUACCCCUCUAGCCCUGCCUCCCUCUCCAGUCUCAUCCUCACUGUCCCCUCAGCCACCUGCCUUCCUUGAUCUGUUUCUGGAAGUUUCUUCCACAAGCUUGUUCUAGCCACAAGGCCUUCACACUUGCUGUUCCGCCUUGAACACCUACCCCAGUGGGGCCAGCUCCUUCCCUUCACAUCGCAGCACAAAGGUCACCUCCUCAGAGGGAGUUCCUGCUGCCCAACUCUGAGAACAGCCCUCAUUCCCACACUGUCCCGCCUUCUUUUGUUUUUUAAUUUUAUUUUUAUUUUUGGUUGCGAUGGGUCUUUGUUGCUGCACAGGGACUUUCUCUAGUUGCGGUGAGCGGGGGCUAUUCUUCAUUGCAGUGCGUGGGCUUCUCAUUGUGGUGGCUUCUCUUGUGGAGCACGGGCUCUAGGCACGUGGGCUCAGCAGUUGUGGCUUGCAGACUCUAGAGCGCAGGCUCAGUAGUUGUGGCACACAGGCUUAGUUGCUCCGAGGCAUGUGGGAUCUUCCCAGACCAGGCCUUGAACCCGUGUCCCCUGCAUUGACAGGUGGAUUCUUAACCAGCGUGCCACCAGAGAAGCCCCACACUGUCCCAUCUUUAACUUCCAUCUUGGCAUUUCCCAUCACCAGUUACUUGUCUAGUGUCUUUAUUGUGAACACCCCAGGAGCAGGGAAGGGUGUGUCUGGAGCAGCCUUGGCCCUGGCCCUGGCCCUGGAAGAGUGCCUGAAUGAAUGAAGACACUCCCUUCCUCACCUGUAGCUUCCCCAGGACAGGGCGACACCUGCCUUGCCUCAGGCCCGACCUCCACCCUGAAAGCCAUUCACUGCCCUGAGCCUCAGUCUCUCUGUUGGAAAUAGGUGCUACUGACUUCUCUCUACUUCUCUCAGGGCUCUCCAGAGGACAGAGUAAAAAGGAAAACACUGGGGACACACGGGGUUGUCCAAAGUUGGGACUGGGGACACCUUUUAACACGGCUGAGAUGAUGUGAAUAAGGCUGGGUGUAAGGGGAGGGUUAAAAGUUGGACCCCCACUGUCCACACUCCAUCUAUUCCCAGGAAUCUACCCUAAAAGAAGUCAUAAGAAAGGAGGGUGAAGGACUGCCCUACUGGCGCAGUGCCUAAGAAUCCGCCUGCCAGUGCAGGGGCCACGGGUUCGAGCCCUGGCUUGGGAAGAGCCCACAUGCCGUGGAGCAACUAAGCCCGUGUGCCACGACUACUGAGCCUGCGCUCUGGAGCCCGCGAGCCACAACUACUGAGUCUGCGUGCCACAACUACUGAAGCCUGCGUGCCUAGAGUCUGUGCUCCACGACAAGAGAAGCCACCGCAAUGAGAAGCCCACGAACUGCAACGAAGCGUAGCCCCCGCUCGCCACAACUAGAGAAAGCCCGCAAGCAGCAACGAGGACCCAACGCAGCCAAAAAUAAAAAUAAAUUUAAAAUAAAUUUUUUAAAAAAA